GCUAAUGUAGCUUAAAUAAAGCACAGCACUGAAGAUGCUGAGAUGGGCCCUAAAAAGCCUCAAUAGCA
Molecule: transfer RNA, 68 nt
Filed under: Alytes obstetricans pertinax
Lineage: Eukaryota; Metazoa; Chordata; Amphibia; Anura; Alytidae
Description: tRNA-Phe
Rfam family: tRNA
About the family: Transfer RNA (tRNA) molecules are approximately 80 nucleotides in length. Their secondary structure includes four short double-helical elements and three loops (D, anti-codon, and T loops). Further hydrogen bonds mediate the characteristic L-shaped molecular structure. tRNAs have two regions of fundamental functional importance: the anti-codon, which is responsible for specific mRNA codon recognition, and the 3' end, to which the tRNAs corresponding amino acid is attached (by aminoacyl-tRNA synthetases). tRNAs cope with the degeneracy of the genetic code in two manners: having more than one tRNA (with a specific anti-codon) for a particular amino acid; and 'wobble' base-pairing, i.e. permitting non-standard base-pairing at the 3rd anti-codon position.
Source: RNAcentral